GAUGAACGCUAGCGGAAGGCUUAAUACAUGCAAGUCGAACGGUAACAGGUUCUUCGGAACGCUGACGAGUGGCGCACGGGUGAGUAACGCGUACACAAUCUGCCCUAAUCUGGGGGAAAGUCGCUGGAAACGGCGAAUAAUCCCGCAUAAGACCACAGUAUCGCAUGAUACAGGGGUUAAAGCUUCGGCGGAAUAGGAUGAGUGUGCGUACUAUUAGUUAGUUGGAGUGGUAACGGCACCCCAAGACAGCGAUAGAUAGGGGCCCUGAGAGGGGGAUCCCCCACACUGGUACUGAGACACGGACCAGACUCCUACGGGAGGCAGCAGUGAGGAAUAUUGGACAAUGGGCGAGAGCCUGAUCCAGCCAUGCCGCGUGCAGGAAGACGGCCCUAUGGGUUGUAAACUGCUUUUUGUACGGGAAGAAACACCCCCUCGUGAGGGGGCUUGACGGUACCGUAAGAAUAAGGAUCGGCUAACUCCGUG
Molecule: ribosomal RNA, 483 nt
Filed under: uncultured bacterium
Lineage: Bacteria
Description: bacterial SSU rRNA
Rfam family: Bacterial small subunit ribosomal RNA
Source: RNAcentral